AUGCUCGCACGCUAUGUCCAUAUUUCGAAUUUCUCAACAAAGUACCCUUUUUGGAAACACACAUAUCUUAACAUAGAUGAGAAUCACAAGCUACAUAGGCACACUAAUACUAUUAUCAUCCAUGAAAAUGGAGUAAUUAUUAUCGUAUAUACACAAUUUUGCAAUAUCCCCCAAGGACAAUUGAUCAUUGGCCUCUAUUCUCCAGAGCCAUCCGAGGUUUCUUCAUCCUCAUCACUCUCAUCAGACAAGUUAUCUCUGUUUGUAGCUCGCAGUACAAGAUUAAGCAAUUCUGUGUUGUCUUCAAGAUCCUCGGAUGAAUCUUCUCCAGCCGCUGGUUGCCUACGUCGUGAUGCCAGCACGUGCCAGACCAAUUCCUCCGGCAAGGCAAAUUGCCAGAGCUUUGCUUUCCUCUUUCGGGGCUUCAACUGGAACAUACAUGUGAUGGUAAGAUAA
RNAcentral lists this ribosomal RNA (453 nucleotides) under Triticum aestivum (bread wheat). RNAcentral's name for it is "partial small subunit ribosomal RNA". The record is from RNAcentral. Lineage: Eukaryota; Viridiplantae; Streptophyta; Magnoliopsida; Poales; Poaceae.